Molecule: ribosomal RNA, 245 nt
Filed under: uncultured bacterium
Lineage: Bacteria
Description: partial 16S ribosomal RNA
Rfam family: Bacterial small subunit ribosomal RNA
Source: RNAcentral
UACAUAGGGUGCGAGCGUUGUCCGGAUUUACUGGGCGUAAAGCGUAUGUAGGCGGUGUCCUAAGUCAAAUUUAAAAUACAAAGGCUCAACCUUUGUUUGGGUUUGAUACUGGGAUUCUAGAGGUAGGGAGAGGAAAGCGGAACUAACAGUGUAGCGGUGAAAUGCGUAGAUAUUGUUAGGAACACCCGUGGCGAAAGCGGCUUUCUGGACCUAUUCUGACGCUAAGAUACGAAAGCGUGGGGAGC